Molecule: ribosomal RNA, 119 nt
Filed under: Pteropus alecto (black flying fox)
Lineage: Eukaryota; Metazoa; Chordata; Mammalia; Chiroptera; Pteropodidae
Source: RNAcentral
GUCUACAGCCAUGUUCCCCUGAACAAGCCCGAUCCCGUCUGAUCUCAAAAGCUAAGCAGGGUUGGGCUUGAUUAGUACUUGGAUUGGAGACCACCUAAGAAAAUCAGGUGCUGUAGGCA